RNAcentral lists this ribosomal RNA (253 nucleotides) under uncultured bacterium. RNAcentral describes it as "partial 16S ribosomal RNA". It matches the Rfam family "Bacterial small subunit ribosomal RNA", at positions 524 to 776 of the family's 1533-position model. The record is from RNAcentral.
UACGGAGGGGGCUAGCGUUGCUCGGAAUCACUGGGCGUAAAGCGCACGUAGGCGGAUUGUUAAGUCAGGGGUGAAAUCCUGGAGCUCAACUCCAGAACUGCCUUUGAUACUGGCGAUCUCGAGUCCGGGAGAGGUGAGUGGAACUGCGAGUGUAGAGGUGAAAUUCGUAGAUAUUCGCAAGAACACCAGUGGCGAAGGCGGCUCACUGGCCCGGUACUGACGCUGAGGUGCGAAAGCGUGGGGAGCAAACAGG